RNAcentral lists this ribosomal RNA (734 nucleotides) under uncultured archaeon. RNAcentral describes it as "bacterial SSU rRNA". It matches the Rfam family "Archaeal small subunit ribosomal RNA", at positions 34 to 770 of the family's 1478-position model. The record is from RNAcentral.
CAGUGUUCGAUUAGGCCAUGCGAGUUAAUGUUCUUCGUGAACAUAGCAGACUGCUCAGUAACACGUGGAUAACCUGCCCUUAGGACUGGCAUAACCCCGGGAAACUGGGGAUAAUUCCGGAUAGAUCAUAAAUGCUGGAAUGCUUUAUGAUUGAAAGGUUUCGACCGCCUUAGGAUGGAUCUGCGGCCUAUCAGGUUGUAGUGGGUGUAAUGUACCUACUAGCCUACGACGGGUACGGGUUGUGGAAGCAAGAGCCCGGAGAUGGAUUCUGAGACAUGAAUCCAGGCCCUACGGGGCGCAGCAGGCGCGAAAACUUUACAAUGCGGGAAACCGUGAUAAGGGAACACUGAGUGCUAGCAUUUAUGUUAGCUGUCCACAUGUGUAAAUAGCAUGUGAUAGCAAGGGCUGGGCAAGACCGGUGCCAGCCGCCGCGGUAACACCGGCAGCCCGAGUGGUGAUCACUAUUAUUGGGUCUAAAGGGUCCGUAGCCGGUUUGAUCAGUCUUCUGGGAAAUCUAAUCGCUUAACUAUUAGGCUUCCAGGGGAUACUGUUAGACUUGGGACCGGGAGAGGUAAGAGGUACUGCAGGGGUAGGAGUGAAAUCUUGUAAUCCCUGUGAGACCACCAGUGGCGAAGGCGUCUUACCAGAACGGGUCCGACGGUGAGGGACGAAAGCUGGGGGCACGAACCGGAUUAGAUACCCGGGUAGUCCCAGCUGUAAACGAUGCUCGUUAA